Molecule: ribosomal RNA, 450 nt
Filed under: uncultured bacterium
Lineage: Bacteria
Description: bacterial SSU rRNA
Rfam family: Bacterial small subunit ribosomal RNA
Source: RNAcentral
AAUCAACGCUGGCGGCGUGCCUAACACAUGCAAGUCGAACGAGAAAGGGGGCUUCGGUCCCUGAGUACAGUGGCGCACGGGUGAGUAACACGUGACUUAUCUAACCCUCGAGUGGGGAAUAACUUCGGGAAACCGAGGCUAAUACCGCAUAAUACCCACGGGUCAAAGGAGCAAUUCGCUUGAGGAGGAGGUCGCGGCCGAUUAGUUAGUUGGCGGGGUAAUGGCCCACCAAGACAGUGAUCGGUAUCCGGCCUGAGAGGGCGCACGGACACACUGGAACUGAAACACGGUCCAGACUCCUACGGGAGGCAGCAGUGGGGAAUUUUGCGCAAUGGGGGAAACCCUGACGCAGCAACGCCGCGUGGAGGAUGAAGUCUCUUGGGACGUAAACUCCUUUCGAUCGGGACGAUUAUGACGGUACCGGAAGAAGAAGCCCCGGCUAACUUCGUG